AACAGGAGCACAAUAGAAAGGACAGGGUUCCUGAUUUGUGGGUGGAACUAAUCUUGCUUAAAGGGUCUGGCACUGAAGAAGGCAGCCAUCACUGAGGUGAGAUGUGUAAAGCUGGUCUUGGAAAUUCCAUGCUGAGAGAUGAGAAUACAGAGCUCUAGGAAGCGCUUCAGUAUGACUUUUUAAACAAAGCUGGAUUUUAAAAUACCCUUACCAAUACUGAAACUUU
RNAcentral lists this long non-coding RNA (226 nucleotides) under Struthio camelus australis. RNAcentral's name for it is "lncRNA (ENSSCUG00000010112.1)". Lineage: Eukaryota; Metazoa; Chordata; Aves; Struthioniformes; Struthionidae. The record is from RNAcentral.